This 328-nucleotide long non-coding RNA is filed under the name Gallus gallus (chicken). Lineage: Eukaryota; Metazoa; Chordata; Aves; Galliformes; Phasianidae. The record is from RNAcentral.
GUAAAUUGUCUGUGAUUGAUGUAGUAUCUUGAGAUACUGGUGUCUGAGAUACUGUCCUAGACUGUGGGGUGGUUGUGGGUGUUUGGGGCCCAUUUGCCGGUGUCUUGUAACCAGGAGUUCCUGUGUGGGCUGGAGAAGGAGUAUAGCUGGCUCGCAGGGCUUUGUCAGUGUAUUUACUUGCAGUCCUGUUCACUAGUCGUUGCAAAGCUGGUGACAUUGCUGGGCUUAGUCCUUUUGGAGUGAGGCUGGCCAAGUUUUCUGUGACUUUUCGAAGUGCCUCCUGCUUCUUUGCUCUGUUUUUAGCUGCCACUUCAUUGGCCAUCUUGAG